Molecule: unclassified non-coding RNA, 3192 nt
Filed under: Sipha flava (yellow sugarcane aphid)
Lineage: Eukaryota; Metazoa; Arthropoda; Insecta; Hemiptera; Aphididae
Description: kinesin-like protein KIF18A, transcript variant X2
Source: RNAcentral
AAUGCAGGCUUAUCCUAACCAGUAAGCGAUCCGGCGAAUAAUGUUUGCUGGCAGCACUGUCUACUAGUCAGUUGGACCAUCUGUUAUUAUCGUAAUCGUUGUUUUCAAAUCUUAAACAUAACGUAUAUUAUUAUAACAGUAUAGUGGUUCAUCCCGCGCAUCGUUAGAGCUUAUUAAUAUUACUGUGAAUUAUUAUUUUUAAUAAAUUUGUAGUACGAUUAUAGAAAAUUUUUAACUUAUUGCUCCUUGACGGAAAUCAACCGUAUGUUGAAUACUAUCUAAGUUUGACGUGUCAAUCUUGUUCGCUUACAGUGAAUUGUUCAAAUUUUAUUAGUAAUCUAUUUUAACUGAUGUUUGGAAAUGAACAGGAUAUAAACUGUUAAAACUUUUAGAACUUUCUGCAAUAUAAAAAAAAAACAAAGCACUGUAUUAAUCAUUUACAAUGGUUCUUAACAGAAGAAGUUUGGAAAAUUUAAAAAGAAUAGCUCCUCCUGGCCGAGGACGAGUAGUAACUCAGGAAGAAAAAAUGCGGGUGUUUGUACGAAUUAAACCUUUGUCUGAUGAAGAUGAUGUACCUAAACCUAAGACCAUACGAAUAAGAAAUGAAAAUGCAUUAAUAUUUGAUCCAAGACAAGAUGAAACACCUUUUUUUUUCCAUGGUGUUAAGCAAAAUCCUAGAGACAUUACAAAAAGACAACAUAAAUCAAUUAAAUAUGAUUUUCAUAGAGUUUUUGGACCACAGAGCACCAAUGAAGAUAUAUAUAAUGAAAGUACUAAAGAUUUGCUUGACAAACUUUUAAGCGGUUAUAACUGUUCUGUUUUCGUUUAUGGAGCAACAGGAGCUGGAAAAACAUUUACUAUGUUGGGUAAUGAAAAUAACUAUGGUAUUACCUAUUUAACUAUGAAAGAUUUGUAUACAAAAGUAAAUGAACAAAAAGAUUCAAAAAAAUUUGAAAUUUAUGUCUCUUAUCUUGAAGUAUAUAAUGAAAUGGUGUAUGACUUAUUGAUAAGUGAUAAAAAACCUUUAUUUUUACGUGAAUGUGGUAAUACAACUUCUGUUGCUGGUAUUACAAUAAAAAUGGUAAAUAAUGUUGAUGAACUCAUUGAAAUGCUACGUAGAGGCAAUGCUAAUCGUACACAACAUCCUACUGAUGCAAAUGCAGAAUCAUCUAGAUCACAUGCUUUGUUUCAAGUCUAUAUACAAAUGACAUAUAAACAUACAGACCAAGUAAAAAUGGCUAAGCUCUCCAUGGUUGACCUGGCUGGCUCUGAAAGGGCUUCAUCUAAUAAAGGAAUGAGAUUUAAAGAAGGAUCAAAUAUUAACAAGUCUCUUCUUGCUCUUGGAAACUGUAUCAAUAACUUAUCAGAUGGUUUGAGACAUAUACCUUACAGAGACUCAAAGUUAACAAGAUUAUUAAAAGAUUCUCUUGGUGGAAAUUGUAAGACUCUGAUGAUAUCAUGUGUAUCUCCUGCUUUAUCAUCCUAUGAGGAUACUCAUAAUACCUUAAAAUAUGCUUCUCGAGCUAUGAAAAUUAAAUCUAAUUUGAAGGAAAACGUUAUGUCAGUCAAUCAUCCUCAAUCGCAUUAUACAAAAAUCAUAUCUGGUCUAGAAGAAGAAAUUAAAAAUCUUAAAAUAAGAUAUGAAGAAACAUUGCUGUCUAAAGCACCAGUACCUCCAAAUAAUAUAGAAGAUCUAAGAUCAACAUUAGAGUCUUUAUUCACCAGAAAAUUAAAAAAACAUAUUGAAAUUCUUCAUUUGGAAUCUGCUCAGAAAAAAACUGAAUUAAGAAUAUUUUUAAAAAGAAAUUUACUUGAACGUGCUUCAUUAUUUAAUGCACAACAUUCUCAUGAAGUGAUAAGUGAGUUGAAUCGAAUUAACAUAGCUAUUCAACAAUUUGAAGGGCGUAUGACUAGUUUAAAUGCUCAAUUGAAUAUUUUGUGGGACGAAGCAAUCGCAGCUAACAAUGAAUUAAAUUUAUUUAUAAAACAACUGGAAACAAAUAAUGUUAAACAAUUUUUGGACAUUGAUAUUGUUCGCUGUAGUUCUCAAAUAAUCAUAGAAGAAGAAGUAAAUCUUAGUGAUCAUAGAAAUGAAAUUGGUAUGAUACUAGACAGUAAUCUUAAUAUAAGUCAGGAACUAAUCACCAUGCUUGCUGAAAAAGCUACUCAGUAUUAUAAUUUAUUAGAAGCAUCUAAUAAAGUUUCGGAAGAUAUGAAAAAAGAUUAUAUUAGUAUAACAAAAUCAUUUUUGGGUGGUUUGAAAGCGGUUAGUUGGGAUUUUUCACCUGCAAAUCAAUGUAAAAUUAAAAGAGAUGUCUUUUUAAACUUAAAUCAGCUUAAUAUUGAAAAUUUAAGAACCUGUGUUAAACCUGAAUUUUCAAAACCAUUAAAUUUGGAAGAAUGCAUGAGUCCAUUACAGGUGGUUGAAGACAAAUUACAGCAAAUUACAAUAAAACAAGAAAUUAAUAAAAUGGAUACAUUACCAGAAAUUAAUAAAAUUGAUACAUCACCAGAAAUUAAUAUUAUGGAUAAAUCACCAGAGUCUAUAUCUGAUGAAACUGUAGUUAUCUCGACACAAGCACAAAGUUUAAAUAACACUUUUGUAUUAAAACAAAAUUUAGAUAAAGUAUCUGCUAACCGGUCAGCUACAACCACACCUCAUCGGAAUAAACCUCCUAUUGAUAUGCGUUGUCUAACCAAAUCUAUUACCAAGCCUGCCAUUCAAAGAAAAAAAUUGAUAAUCAAUAAUAAUAAAAAUGGACUUGUUAAUAGAAAAAUAAACCAAGAAAAUUUACCUCUUAUUAUGGCUGCAACUAAGACAUUGGCUGAUCCAUCUCUUGCCAAAGCUGUAACUAAAUCAAGAAUUAAUACCAAUAUAUUAACUCCUAAAUCUGUAAAUACAAGGAUAACUACACAAGACUCAAAUAAGACAUCUAUUUUAAAAAAUCAAAAACCUACAUUGACCAUGAGUUUACAGAAAAACCUGAAAUAACUAUUGGUGAAUGUGCUCAGCUUUUAUGAUUAAUUACUGUAUUUUUAAAAAUCUGAUAUGUGCAACGAAAUUGGCUAUAACAAGUUGAAGAAAUAUUAAAUACUUAAAGACAGUCCUAAUUUAAUAGUUAUAAUCUGAUGAAAUGUGUUUAAUUAACCUAUAAUUUUAUAUAUAUUUGUGUGGACUUUUGUCCUGUUUAG